Molecule: ribosomal RNA, 482 nt
Filed under: uncultured bacterium
Lineage: Bacteria
Description: partial 16S ribosomal RNA
Rfam family: Bacterial small subunit ribosomal RNA
Source: RNAcentral
AUUGAACGCUGGCGGCAUGCCUUACACAUGCAAGUCGAACGGUAACAGGUCUUCGGAUGCUGACGAGUGGCGAACGGGUGAGUAAUACAUCGGAACGUGCCCAGACGUGGGGGAUAACGAGGCGAAAGCUUCGCUAAUACCGCAUACGAUCUAAGGAUGAAAGCAGGGGACCGCAAGGCCUUGCGCGUUUGGAGCGGCCGAUGGCAGAUUAGGUAGUUGGUGGGAUAAAAGCUUACCAAGCCGACGAUCUGUAGCUGGUCUGAGAGGACGACCAGCCACACUGGGACUGAGACACGGCCCAGACUCCUACGGGAGGCAGCAGUGGGGAAUUUUGGACAAUGGGCGAAAGCCUGAUCCAGCAAUGCCGCGUGCAGGAUGAAGGCCUUCGGGUUGUAAACUGCUUUUGUACGGAACGAAAAGGCUCUGGCUAAUACCUGGGGCACAUGACGGUACCGUAAGAAUAAGCACCGGCUAACUACGUG